RNAcentral lists this transfer RNA (69 nucleotides) under Fukomys damarensis (Damara mole-rat). It matches the Rfam family "tRNA". From Rfam's summary of the family: Transfer RNA (tRNA) molecules are approximately 80 nucleotides in length. Their secondary structure includes four short double-helical elements and three loops (D, anti-codon, and T loops). Further hydrogen bonds mediate the characteristic L-shaped molecular structure. tRNAs have two regions of fundamental functional importance: the anti-codon, which is responsible for specific mRNA codon recognition, and the 3' end, to which the tRNAs corresponding amino acid is attached (by aminoacyl-tRNA synthetases). tRNAs cope with the degeneracy of the genetic code in two manners: having more than one tRNA (with a specific anti-codon) for a particular amino acid; and 'wobble' base-pairing, i.e. permitting non-standard base-pairing at the 3rd anti-codon position. The record is from Rfam by way of RNAcentral. Lineage: Eukaryota; Metazoa; Chordata; Mammalia; Rodentia; Bathyergidae.
GGGGAUAUAGCUCAGCGGUACAGCAUUUGCCUGGCAAGUGAGAGGCCCUCAGUUAGAUUCCUGUCCCCC